RNAcentral lists this long non-coding RNA (194 nucleotides) under Sinocyclocheilus grahami. RNAcentral describes it as "lncRNA (ENSSGRG00000029891.1)". Lineage: Eukaryota; Metazoa; Chordata; Actinopteri; Cypriniformes; Cyprinidae. The record is from RNAcentral.
AUUAUGGUGUUAUGGAUCACCUCAAUCAAGUUUGGCACUCAGAGAUGACAGGUCAUCAUUGUCCACUAAAAGGAAAAGGAGACCUUGGAAAUCAGUGAUAAAACACGGAAAUCAACUGCCCUUAGAUCAGGAGUCGGAAGACGAGCAGAGAGUGGGAGUAGCGAUAGUGGUGGAGGAGUGAACCCGGAGCAGGU